CGGACGGGUGAGUAACACGUGGAUAACCUACCUAUAAGACUGGGAUAACUUCGGGAAACCGGAGCUAAUACCGGGUAAUAUUUUGAACCGCAUGGUUCAAAAGUGAAAGACGGUCUUGCUGUCACUUAUAGAUGGAUCCGCGCUGCAUUAGCUAGUUGGUAAGGUAACGGCUUACCAAGGCAACGAUGCAUAGCCGACCUGAGAGGGUGAUCGGCCACACUGGAACUGAGACACGGUCCAG
RNAcentral lists this ribosomal RNA (241 nucleotides) under uncultured Staphylococcus sp. RNAcentral's name for it is "partial 16S ribosomal RNA". It matches the Rfam family "Bacterial small subunit ribosomal RNA", at positions 99 to 334 of the family's 1533-position model. Lineage: Bacteria; Bacillati; Bacillota; Bacilli; Caryophanales; Staphylococcaceae. The record is from RNAcentral.